AGGUCCGGCGCGGGCGGCGCGCGCUGACGGAGGGCGGCGGCCGCGGCCAGGGCGGCCCGAGGGACCGCGGGGCCCCGGCGCAGCGCCGCCCGGCUCCCGCUCCCGGCCCUGCCGGCCUCCUCCCUCGGCGCCGCGGCCAUGGCGGCCAGCGCGAAGCGGAAGCAGGAGGAGAAGCACCUGAAGAUGCUGCGGGACAUGACCGGUCUCCCGCACAACCGAAAGUGCUUCGACUGCGACCAGCGCGGCCCCACCUACGUGAACAUGACGGUCGGCUCCUUCGUCUGUACCUCCUGCUCCGGCAGCCUGAGAGGGUUAAAUCCACCACACAGGGUGAAAUCUAUCUCCAUGACAACAUUCACACAACAGGAAAUUGAAUUUCUGCAAAAACAUGGAAAUGAAGUCUGUAAACAGAUUUGGCUAGGAUUAUUUGAUGAUAGAUCUUCAGCAAUUCCAGACUUCAGGGAUCCACAAAAAGUGAAAGAGUUCCUACAAGAAAAGUAUGAAAAGAAAAGAUGGUACGUCCCUCCAGAACAAGCCAAAGUGGUGGCGUCAGUUCAUGCAUCUAUUUCGGGGUCCUCUGCCAGCAGCACAAGCAGCACACCGGAGGUCAAACCACUGAAGUCUCUCUUAGGAGAUGCAGCACCAGCACUGCACUUAAACAAGGGCACACCUAGUCAGUCUCCAGUUGUAGGUCGCUCUCAAGGGCAGCAGCAGGAAAAGAAGCAGUUUGACCUUUUAAGUGAUCUUGGCUCAGACAUCUUUGCUGCUCCAGCACCUCAGUCAACAGCUACAGCCAAUUUUGCUAACUUUGCACAUUUCAACAGUCACGCAGCUCAGAAUUCUGCAAAUGCAGAUUUUGCAAACUUUGAUGCAUUUGGACAGUCUAGUGGUUCGAGUAAUUUUGGAGGUUUCCCCACAGCGAGUCACUCUCCUUUUCAGCCCCAAACUACAGGUGGAAGUGCUGGAUCAGUAAAUGCUAAUUUUGCUCAUUUUGAUAACUUCCCCAAAUCCUCCAGUGCUGAUUUUGGAACCUUCAAUACUUCCCAGAGUCAUCAAACAGCAUCAGCUAUUAGUAAAGUUUCAACGAACAAAGCUGGUCUACAGACUACAGACAAAUAUGCAGCACUUGCUAAUUUAGACAAUAUCUUCAGUGCUGGGCAAGGUGGUGAUCAGGGGAGUGGCUUUGGGACCGCAGGUAAAGCUCCUGUUGGUUCUGUGGUUUCAGUUCCCAGUCAGUCAAGUGCAUCCUCAGACAAAUAUGCAGCCCUGGCAGAACUAGACAGCGUUUUCAGCUCUGCAGCCACUUCCAGUAACGCAUAUACUUCCACAAGUAAUGCUAGCAGCAGUGUUUUCGGAACAGUGCCAGUGGGUGCUUCGGCACAGACACAGCCCGCUUCUUCCAGUGUGCCUGCUCCCUUUGGAGCUACGCCUUCCACAAAUCCAUUUGUUGCUGCUGCUGGUCCUUCUGUGGCAUCUUCUACAAAUCCAUUUCAGACCAAUGCCAGAGGAGCAACAGGCCUUUCUGGAGCAAUGCAUUCUCAAGUGUUUCCUCACGCUCAUUUUGCCGCGACCUUUGGCACCGCCUCCAUGAGCAUGCCCGCGGGCUUCGGGACUCCCGCUUCCUACAGUCUUCCCACCAGCUUCAGCGGCAGCUUCCAGCAGCCUGCCUUCCCGGCCCAAGCCGCUUUCCCUCAGCAGACCGCUUUUUCGCAACAGCCCAAUGGUGCAGGUUUUGCAGCAUUUGGACAAACAAAGCCAGUGGUAACCCCUUUUGGUCAAGUUGCAGCUGCUGGAGUAUCUAGUAAUCCCUUUAUGACUGGUGCACCAACAGGACAGUUUCCAACAGGAAGCUCAUCAACCAAUCCUUUCUUAUAGCCUUAUAUAGACACUUUACUGGAACGAACUUUUACGUGGUCGCAUUACAUCUCUCCGCCUCUUGCACUGUUGUCUUGUUUCACUGAUCUGAGCUUUAAACACAAGAGAAGUCUUUAAAAAGCCUGCAUUGUGUAUCAAACACCAGGCGGGCCCUGUGCCUUGCUUCUUGGGCCUUCUUCGUCUGUGUGUUGUGCUCCUUCACUGAACCUGUGUUCACAAUGACUCACCUCAUCUUUGGUCUCCACCAACAGUCUCAGACUUCUAUCAGAAAAUUAAUCUCUAGGAGACCGUUGUGAAGAUACGUUUUUUAAAAAGUAACUUCAAAGUAUGUGGUGGUAUUAUGGGGUGUGAUUUAUUAAGCCCUUUAAAUGUAGGAGAAACUUGCUAAGUGCUUUUCAUGUAUUAUACAAUCCUUAAAGUGGAUGCAUACUUUAAGGAUGAAAGAAGGCAAGGCAUAGGGAGGCUAAGCUAAUGACAGAGCUUUUGCUCUGGAGAGCGAGUAUUUCAUUGUUGGAUUGAAGGCCUGUCACAUUUAUGUGUAAGUAGCCCUUUAAAAAAAGUCUUUUAAAAUUCCAGGAGAGUUACUUUCUGUAUCCCGUAUACCUAAUAAAACUUAGUUAUUUAAUUUGAGUUCCAUUCAUAAUUUGAUGAAAUCAAUACAGUUUAUUCACUAGGCUUUUAUUUAAACUUUACAAGUUAAUUAAUGGGGUAAUUAGUGGACCUUGUUUUAAACUAAAGAAGCAUCUGAAGUGGGGCGCCUGGGUGGCUCAGUCCUUAAGCGUCUGCCUUCGGCUCAGGUCCUGGGAUCGAGCCCCACAUCGGGCUCCCUGCACCGCGGGGAAGCCUGCUUCUCCCUCUCCUACUCCCCCUGCUUGUGUUCCCUCUCUCACUAUGUCUCUCUCUGUCAAAUAAUAAAUAAAAUCUUUAAAAAAAAAAAAAAACCAUCUGAAGUGUUACAAUGAUCCCUAUUUUGUGAGAAACAUUCCAUCUUUUAUUGAUACGGUUUGUGCCCUAGGUGGUUUUAAAAUUUACUUUCUAAAGGAUGCCAUUAUUAAAAUUUGUGUUAAGUUAGCCUAUUAUAUGAAAUUCAUCCUCAUUAGUUAAAUUUUCCUUUGUAUAUUUUAGAACAUUAUAAUGUCGUUAAUUAAAAUUUUGCAUUGUAUAUUUGAACAAGUGAAUAUAUGACCAAGAUGUAAUUCUUAGUGUUGUGCCCAUGAGACUUUUUCUCUCACGAAAAAGUGCCCUGUUUGGUACUGCUUACUGAUAUAUGUGGUGUAGAUACCCUCACAAUGGCUGAUGUCACCUAUCAAUCUGAUGUCAUUAAACUUGGAAUUAGAAAGAGAUGUGCACCAGGCUCCCAAGCCUUUGCAAGCCAACUCCAGUGCAGCACUCACAAUUCUACAACUUGUUCAUUAAAUUUAUUGGUGACUGUAUCCAAUAUUUGAAGAGCCUUUUGUUUAUGUUGUUAAUUCAGCAAGCAUUUGGACACUAAUUCACUUUAAUAAGUGGACAGGGCAUGGUGAUACUUAAUCUGGAAAGACUCAAGUAUUGUGAACCCUGGUAUUAAAAAGUCCAGUUAUUGUGCUAAUGGUAAGGCUUGCACAGUCAUGACAUACACCCUGAAUUCUGUCUGCAGUUUUUUGUUUGACCAGCACAGUGUUUUAAGAACUGGGAUUUUUGAAUAGUUUUAAAACAUGCACACUUAAGGUGGCCACUGGCCUCCUACUCCCAAUUUUCUUAGCCUCAAACAUUCAAAUGUAUUUUAAGACCUUCGAGUUGGCAAAUCACGUGUCUGGGUAAGAGGGUUCUUAUGAAACCUCAUUGUUCUGAUUUUGGAGUCCUGGAGGAUUUGAAUGUAUGGUAUUAAUUUCCAGUGAAGACUUUUGCUAAGAAUGUGUUUCUUUUCAAACUUUUGGCAUCUGUAUAUUCUGUUUAUUUUCUAGCCCUGCAUAAGAAUUCAACGUGUGUUAAAAUACUAUGUUUUUGGAAUCUGUGCUUGUCCAACUCAAAGGGCUGUGGAGUUUAAUGAAAAGAGAAAUCUUGUGGCUCAGGCUCUUGUAAAAAGGAAAAGUGAUCUUGGAUAAAAUAUUUUAAUUAGUGAUUAAAAUGCCCAUUUAAGUUAAUUUUGUCAUUGGUUCUCUAGAAUCUUGACUAGGUGUCAUCCAAGUCACAGUUCAAUCAAUGAGGUUAAGAUUUAAACUCUAAAUUCUCAAUAUUUUCCCUUAAUCUUGAGUGGAGAGAGGGAGAGGAAGCACACACCCAAGGAGCCUUCUAAUUUUGACUAAAUGACCAUUAAAUAAAUGGCAGCAAAGGAUUGUAAACUGAUGUUAAUACAGUUAAUGUUUCAUAGAAUGCUGUGGGUACAAUCAGGUUUUUUAAAGACUUUAACAUUUUUUAUGUGUUAUAAAACAUGCUUAUGAUUUUUAAAAAUUAUGCAAUAUAUAAAGGGUAUAAAGUGAAAAAUUACAUCUCGUCUCCUUCCUGUGACUUCAUUCCCGCACCCCAGGGGAACAUAGUUUCUUGUAUUCUUGUAUAGUUUUUCAGAAAUGUUAUCGUUUAUUUCAUAUGCCUCUGUAUACAUAUAUAGUCCUCUUGCUGUCCUCCUUUAUUUUAAAUGUACAAUUUUGUAACUUGGUUCUUUUUAUUUAAUUUGGUUUUCUUUACAUAGUAGCACAUCCAGCUCUAACUCAUUAUUUUAAUGGCUACAGGAUUUCAUUAUAUGGAUGUCCCUUUUGAAGAGUAUUUGUAUAGAUUUUUCUACUAAAAACAUUAAAAAUUGAGAACGUCCUUAUGCAUAUGUGAAGAUAAGUCUUGACCCUGCCUGACUGGAAACUCAAUAAAACAGACCUCAUUCAACUUUGAGGCUCACCAGCUGUUUAUUAUCUUAUGCUUCCAUGUAGGAAAUUCUUUCAGUUAAGGGGCGGGGGAAUCCUUCAAAUCGACUAUCUUAAGAUAUUUGAAGAAUCCUGUGCUUUUUAAUUGAACUUUGAAGGGUUUCAGUCAGUCAUUGAAAGGUGGUGCAAGUUCAUACCCAUUUUGCACUUUAAUUUUUCCAUUGUCCCUACCCAUGACUCUGGAAGUUUCUAAAAGUGUGCUUUGGGGUGGUUUUCUAUUACUACUUGCUGGUGUUGCACCUUUCCUUAUCGACAUUAGCUUAGAAUAUAUACCUUAUAUUUAAAAAGAAACGGUAUAGAUUUACUACAGUAAAAUAUUUUGGCACAACCAUGUAUUUUAUUCUUCAAAAUUAGUUCCCUUUGCCUUAGAAAAGAUUUGGAUAAUAACUUAAAAGUUGUGAUUCUUACUCCUCAAAAGACUAGGCAGAGUCCAGAGAAUUUUUUUUUUUUAAAGAUUUUAUUUAUUUGAGAGAGAGAGAAUGAGAGACAGCACGAGAGGGAGGAGGGUCAGAGGGAGAAGCAGACCCCCUGCCGAGCAGGGGGCCCGAUGCGGGACUCGAUCCCGGGACUCCAGGAUCAUGACCUGAGCCGAAGGCAGUCGCUCAACCAACUGAGCCACCCAGGCGCCCAGUCCAGAGAAUUUUUUAACGUGCAUUUACAUUAGUCAAGACAGGAUGUGCUUCAUGGGAUGGUUUUUAUAUGAGGACUGAUACCCCCUGCUACUAGCUGAUAGCGGGGGUCCUGUAGCACCUUCAGGCUAAGUGCAGGGAGGGAAAGGACUUGCAGAGAAGUCUGAAAGAAAGGAGGAAACCUUUUUAGCAAGAAAGACAGGUUUUGGAAGAUGUGUUUAUUAAUAUGCCAACAUUUAUGAAGACUAAUCUUAAUGCAGGGGGUGGUUUUAGGUGUUGGGCCGAAAACCUACAGGCUGAUUUCAGUAUUCAUCUCUAAAACCAUUUAGUAUAGUAGAUAAACUUGGUUGAGUUAUUGUUCAUUGUAAAAUAUUGUUGGAAGAAUUUUUUCAAAAUAAAGACUCCUCAAUUUGUGUACCAUUUGAGAGUAGCCUCUUCAAUUGUCACAUAACAUUAUGUAUUUUCUGUAAAGCAGCUCAUGCAUCUACUUCCAACUUAAUCUUUUCUAUUCCAUUAAUUAUACAUUAAUAACAUUUCUCACUUUUUUGUCUUUUUACAUUACGAAACAUCUGUUUUUUAAAAGCACGUGUUUUUACUGAGUUUCCAAUACUGAUUUUUUUUUUUUGCCCCUAAAAGAUGACAUUUUUUUCUUGAAAUACAUGUUAAUGUUGUUUGGUUUUAAGAUAGAUUUAUUGUAAUUGGCUUUUACCCAUUCUAUUACCUAUAGAAAUUUAACAGAUAAAUCGUGAACUAUACCGCCUGGUUCUUUAUACCCCAGUCUUUGUGGUAGCUGUCACUAUUAUUUGUAUCCGUCAUGAUUAUUCUGUACAUUUCUGUUUAAAUUAUUUUCAUUAAUAAUCAUCACCAGAACCCAAAAGAAAAUUUACUUUCCUUAGAAUCCUUAUUUCCACCAUGACUACCAAUAUCACCUUCCCUUCUCCCAGGGGAAAACUAAUGUUUAUUUUAGUCUCAUUUAAUGAGAAAGGGUUAAAAUUCUUUUUUUCCUCCCCCUGCCCCCUUAAAUGGUAUGCUGACAAUUUUUACUGAACUUGUUUG
RNA transcript from Mirounga angustirostris (Northern elephant seal), 6454 nucleotides. It is a transcript of the gene named ArfGAP with FG repeats 1, with no coding region annotated. The transcript is spliced from 15 exons. The record is from RefSeq and is a predicted model, not a curated record. NCBI's taxonomy places the organism in Eukaryota, Metazoa, Chordata, Mammalia, Carnivora, Phocidae.